RNAcentral lists this ribosomal RNA (466 nucleotides) under uncultured Rhodoferax sp. RNAcentral describes it as "bacterial SSU rRNA". It matches the Rfam family "Bacterial small subunit ribosomal RNA", at positions 910 to 1382 of the family's 1533-position model. Lineage: Bacteria; Pseudomonadati; Pseudomonadota; Betaproteobacteria; Burkholderiales; Comamonadaceae. The record is from RNAcentral.
UUGACGGGACCGCACAAGCGUGGAUGAUGUGGUUUAAUUCGAUGCAACGCGAAAACCUUACCACCUUUGACAUGUACGGAAUCCUUAGAGAUAGAGGGGUGCUCGAAAGAGAGCCGUAACACAGGUGCUGCAUGGCUGUCGUCAGCUCGUGUCGUGAGAUGUUGGGUUAAGUCCCGCAACGAGCGCAACCCUUGUCAUUAGUUGCUACAUUCAGUUGGGCACUCUAAUGAGACUGCCGGUGACAAGCCGGAGGAAGGUGGGGAUGACGUCAAGUCCUCAUGGCCCUUAUAGGUGGGGCUACACACGUCAUACAAUGGCUGGUACAAAGGGUUGCCAACCCGCGAGGGGGAGCCAAUCCCAUAGAGCCAGUCGUAGUCCGGAUCGUAGUCUGCAACUCGACUACGUGAAGUCGGAAUCGCUAGUAAUCGUGGAUCAGAAUGUCACGGUGAAUACGUUCCCGGGUCUU